This is a long non-coding RNA of Beta vulgaris subsp. vulgaris (sugar beet), 1687 nucleotides long. RefSeq lists it as uncharacterized. The transcript has 3 exons. Lineage: Eukaryota; Viridiplantae; Streptophyta; Magnoliopsida; Caryophyllales; Amaranthaceae. The record is from RefSeq and is a predicted model, not a curated record.
CAAACCCCAACCCGUGAAAAAGAAACCCAAAACCCAAAAAGAAAAUCAAACUCUCUCGUCUCCUGGUGAAACCCCGACCCCCUCUCACCCUCGCUCGCUCACUUGCGCGCCUCACUGGUGUCCCUAAGCUCACUGGAGCUUGACGAAUACUGCAGCAAACCCUUCUCUUUCCUUCUCCUCGCAGUUGGAUUCCCCUCCCCUGUUCGUCCCUGCUUGACGCUGCUAUCACGUCACCCGCAUCACUGGUGCUGCUGUUGUGUUGUCGUUGUUGUUCCUGUGGCUACUGUUAAUGGUAGUGUUGCGGUUGCCAUCGUCGUCGCCUCCUCUGCCCUGUUCUCUCUCCUCUGUUCUUGCGUCGUUGUUGCUGCUGCCGCUGUUGUCGGUUGUCGUCGCUGCAGUUGUGGCGUUGUUGGCGCCGUCGUGGGUCGCUGCUGCCAACACCUUGCUGUUGGUGGUUGAGGCAAAGUACAUAAGGUAUAACUAUUGGGAUUAUUUGUGAGAAUGGCUUCAAAUGAUGAAAACGUGUCUGCUCGCAAAUCCUAAAAAGGUCGACUAUAGCUAGCUGUACUCCAAUUACCGUGAAUGAUGACGAAAGUUUAGUUGAAAUUGGAUCACAUGCUCCUUCUAUUUUACCAAUAACCUCUAGACACACAUCAAAAGCAUGGUCUGAUUUCACAAGGAAGGGAUGGGGGAUGUUAUUAAGGCUGAGUGUAACUAUUGUUUGAAGCAACUUGCUGGAGAACGAAGAGUGGGAAGUACUCAUUUGAAGGACCAUACAAAAAUUUGUCCAAAAAACAAUGUCAAGACCUUAGACAAACUAGGUUGUUUGGUUCACAAGCAAAACCUAGUGAUGAGCAAGACACAUUGACAUUGGCACCAUAUAAGUUUCAACAAGAGAAAAGGAAGAAAAACAUUGGCAGAAAUGAUUGUUCUUCAUGAGUACCAUCUUAGCAUGGUUAACCACUAUGUUGUUAGAAAGUAUUCCUCCACACUUCAACCAAUAUUCAAAGUACCAUGUCGCAACACAACUAAGAAAUGCAUCAUGGGAAGAUAUGAAUCUGAGAAGGAGAAUAUUAGUAUAUUGUUGAGGAAAGCAAAGAGCAGAAUUGCCUUGACUACUGACAUGUGGACAGCGAGCAACCAAAGUAAAGGUUAUAUGGCAGUCACUGCACAUUUUGUCAAUAGCUUGUGGAGAUUGCAAAGCCGAAUUAUUAGUUCUGAUAGAGAAGUAAACAAAAUUCAAGAUCUUCUCAAGCAAUUAACGGAUGAAUACGGGUCGGAGAAUGGGAGAUCCCAAGGUUCUAUAACCGUACAUUUGUUAGUCCUAGUGGAGUGAAUAGGGAUGUUUUAAUGCAAGAAUUUGCAAAAUAUUUGGAGCAAGAUCAAAGUGAAAUAAAUAACAAAUCAGAUUUGGAGAAGUAUUUGGGAGACCCUAAUGUACCACUUGUUGCUGAUUUUGAUAUUCUUAAUUGGUGGAAGACUAACGGAAACUCAUAUCCAAUUCUUCAAAGAAUAGCAAGGGAUAUUUUGAGCAUUCAUGUUUCUAUUGUCCCAUCAGAAUCUGCAUUUAGCACAAGUGGAUGUGUUCUAAGUCCUUAUUGUAGUCGUCUUCUACCGAAAACCUUAGAGGCUUUGAUGUGUACUCAAAAUUGGAUAAGGGCGGACAUUAAAGGUAAAAUUAUUUCAU